RNAcentral lists this unclassified non-coding RNA (276 nucleotides) under Hevea brasiliensis (rubber tree). The record is from RNAcentral. Lineage: Eukaryota; Viridiplantae; Streptophyta; Magnoliopsida; Malpighiales; Euphorbiaceae.
GUGGAAUUACAUAUACCUGUUUUGUGCACGAUUAUUUUCUGAAUUACUUCUUUGGGCUUAGGCUUCAUAUUUUUGAGUGCACAUAUACUAGCCUGGCAUGUUAGAUUUUGACGAGUCUAAAGGAUGAAUGAGUUUAGUUCUUUGAUGCCUUAUUUGUAAAAUCAAACUACUCUUUCAGUCAGCUAUAGCAAAAGCAAGUUAGUCAGUUGUCUCAAAAGCAUACGGACAGGAAUAGUAUUCACUUCUUGUGAAAUUUGUAUAACUGUAGUUUGGAUG